AUUGAACGCUGGCGGCAUGCCUUACACAUGCAAGUCGAACGGUAACAGAUCUUCGGAUGCUGACGAGUGGCGAACGGGUGAGUAAUACAUCGGAACGUGCCCGAUCGGGGGGGAUAACGAAGCGAAAGCUUUGCUAAUACCGCAUACGAUCUACGGAUGAAAGCAGGGGACCGCAAGGCCUUGCGCGAACGGAGCGGCCGAUGGCAGAUUAGGUAGUUGGUGGGAUAAAAGCUUACCAAGCCGACGAUCUGUAGCUGGUCUGAGAGGACGACCAGCCACACUGGGACUGAGACACGGCCCAGACUCCUACGGGAGGCAGCAGUGGGGAAUUUUGGACAAUGGGCGAAAGCCUGAUCCAGCCAUGCCGCGUGCAGGAUGAAGGCCUUCGGGUUGUAAACUGCUUUUGUACGGAACGAAAAGACUCUGGUUAAUACCUGGGGUCCAUGACGGUACCGUAAGAAUAAGCACCGGCUAACUACGUGCCAGCCGCCGCGGUAA
Molecule: ribosomal RNA, 498 nt
Filed under: uncultured bacterium
Lineage: Bacteria
Description: partial 16S ribosomal RNA
Rfam family: Bacterial small subunit ribosomal RNA
Source: RNAcentral